RNAcentral lists this long non-coding RNA (29582 nucleotides) under Vitis vinifera (wine grape). RNAcentral describes it as "long non-coding RNA (VVIN_LNC004780)". Lineage: Eukaryota; Viridiplantae; Streptophyta; Magnoliopsida; Vitales; Vitaceae. The record is from RNAcentral.
UCAAACAUUAUUCCUUGCUUUUUCAAUAAUAAGGUAUCCCUUCUGGCUAUUCCAUAAAUGGAGGGGUUCUUCUUCAAAGAAAAGGCAAGGGCAGUUUGGGCACUCAAACAAAGCCAACCCCAUUGUUCUAAUCCAGACACGUCUAAUUUCCUACUUGGUUUGUACUAUAAAUGCUGGAUACGCAGCCUCUUAUUUCCAUAUUGUACUGCCAAAUCCAGAGAGAGUCGCCACACAGUCUGAAAGAAUGAUGCCAACAAACACCACCACCAAGGCAGCCGGUUUCCACCAAUGGAACUCCCCCAUUCCUUACCUCUUUUGUGGCCUGGGCCUCACGUUAGGACUUAUCGCUCUGGCAUUGGUGCUUCUUGCUUGCUCCUUUCGAAUGUCUCCCUCCAACUCAUCCACCCAAGAGGAAGAAAAACCAGGUAAGGAGGUGGAGAAGCAGACGGACAUGGAGCCGAGGUUCGUGGUGAUGAUGCCCGGAGAUGACAAACCCAAGUUCCUGGCGAAGCCUGCCGCCUCAGAUCGGCAAAGUGAGCAAGUUUGAUCAUCAGGGGUCAUCCCUGCCGUCACCCAGAGAUGGAGUUCUUUGUUUCCUCCUUGUAGCCUAGGCCUUUUUGUUCAUCCUAAUUUUCAGGGAUAUGUAAAUUUUUGAGCUCAAGUAGGAUACUAUAAAUUAUUUUUUGGAUCCAUCUAAUAAAUUAUUUGCUUCUCCAUUUCUUUCAUUGCCUCUACCUACAUAUGAGUCAAUGUUUUUCCUUCAGUUUCCUUCUCCUUUCCCACUACAGAAGAAUUUGAGCGAGUCCAGAUAAUUAAUCCAUGAAAAAUGGGGGAAAAAAAGAGAAGAAAAUCAUCUUACGUUUGUAUAGCUUUUAUUUACUUUAAAUUUACCAUUUCCUACAGCCAAGAAAACUGAAUAGGGUCAGUGUUUGGAAGCCAUUACCUGGAUGAAAGAUUUCCUUUACAGGGCACACAGACAAAGCUCCCUUCAACUUACAAUUAAGCUUAUAUUUUCAGACCAAAAUCACCCCCACCAUAUGUUUUUGGGCACAGAUGUUAGAGGUGGAAAGGGAAGCUAGCAGACCGUAAUGUAAAAAUAAUUCAUAAGCAUUUAUUUUCUGUUGGGAAAGGAUAAGAAAGGGCCGCUUUCGUCCGCAGCAAGGGACUCUACUGUGAACUACAAGCAACGUUUUUAAGGAGUGUGUCAUCAGAGGUUCCCUUUCUGGCUGAAUGCCCAAAUAAUUGUUGAUCAAUCCAAAAGGAGCAAAACCCACGAAUUUUGCUGCAUGAUAUAAGAAAAGUAUGGUGGCAUGGAGGAUGGAGAAAUGCCCAAAAUGUCAUAAACUAAGGUACAUUUAGCAUCAAAUUCUCCCCCAAGGAGGCCUUCUUAGAAAUGUGGUGAUCAUUAAGUGAAGUGGGCUUCCCAGAAACUAACCACCCAGGGUGACUACCCACCUUUCUAAAGAGUCCGGGCCUCAGAAUUACUCCCAUUAAUUAAUAUUCAAAAUGGGUCCCCUAGUGCUCUACUUUAUGACAGAAAUAGCCAACUGUGUUUGACAAAUGGGGCAGAGAGAAAUGAGUUCUGUUGGAAUUUGGGGACGGGAUUAGGUGGGUGGAUGUGGCGUCUCGAAUAUGAAUUAUGAGGGGCAGAGGGAGGUCUGAAUAUGAAGACAGGAGUAAGUUAAAAGCGGAUCCUUUUGGUAUGUCAAAUUGAUCUAAAGCUUGCAUUUACACAUCACCUUCAUCCAAUCGGGUGAUAUUAGGGACAAAAUUUUCCACAAUCUUUCUGUAUAUUUGCUUGUUUUUUUCAUUGAAGUGGAUUGACCAUGACCCAAGUCUCCCUCCUCACAACGUAGGGCUGCGCAGACUAAAUCUGUCAAUGGGCUAUGGCUGUGAUACCUAAUCCAAAUGUGGGUAUAAUGGGGCAAAGAAAGUGAUCACAGUAUACAUCUUACCUUAUGAAUUGACUCUGGAAUAUAUAUAUUCAUCUUAAGUGCUCUGUUAGUUAGAAUAAACUAAGGAUAACCCAGAAUGAUUUUCAAGGCCAAAAUAGGAAAUGGUUGAAUGGAGUUACCUUGUAAAAGACAAGUUCACAUUAGCUUUUAUGGUUGCCAGUCAUUUUUUCUGAUUUCAUUGCAAUUAAAAGACGAGUAAUAAUGAUGUCAUAGAUGUUUCUCUUUUCUUUUUUGGUGAGGAUUAAAUCUGAGUCCAUUAGUCACCGAAUUCUAUAAAGAUGGUAGCAAUCUUUUAUGGGUCGUAGACAUCUCAUAUUAAGUGCGUUAGUCCUCUCAAUUUGACUACCAAAAAGAGAAGAAAUAUGUGGGGUUGGGCUGGGUUGGGUUGGCGGAUGCGACGGGGCGGCUACGUAAAGAUGUUUCCCAUAAUUGUAUAGCUGAAUGACUUGAAAAAAAAAGGGUCAAAACUGUUGAAGCCGAAAACAAAAUAUUUGGGAUAUAUAGAUGUCUUGAUUUUUAUCUGUUGUUGGUCCUUGGAAAUAACGAACAAGUAUUUCAUCAGUACUCAUUUCAUAAGGAGAUGCGUGAGAUUUAAGGCAUUGUUUCAUACAGGGAUCGUAGGCAAAUAUCUGAUAAUAGUUUUUAUUCCUAAAGAGAGUGAACUCGUGUAUCAAUGAUUCAUUGGAUGAUUCUUGAUCAUAUACGGGUGGUUAGCUUGAUGAAGGUAACACAAGAAAGAAAUGUUGUCCAUAAUAUUUUCCAUUUCCUUCUUUCAUUUCCUUCUUUCAUUUCCUUUUCUCUGAGCACCUACAUCCAAUACUUCCCUUUGUUUGCAUGAAGUUCAAUGAUAGAUAGAGUAGUUGCACUUGUUAAUAAAAUUGUAAAAUAUAUCGAAACUCGAUAAAAAACAAUUAUUAAGAAAUUGUCCUCCCAACAAUCAAUCACUUACCUUUUUAUCAUCAUUGUUAGUUUAAUGUGAUGUUUGUUUUUUUAGCUUUUUACUUAAAGUAAUUUGUUUUUAGAAUUUAAGUCGUUUGUUUUUUUUAUUUUUUUUCAUGACUUAUUAUAAAUUUUUUACUAAAUAGAAAAAACCAAAAUAUGUAACUUUUUUUAAAUAGAAAAAAAAUAAUAUAUUGAUUUUUUUUUAUUUUUUAAUACUUAAUAGAAAUAAAAUAUUACAAAAACAAACACCAUAAUAUUUAACACUAUUAAGCAUUAAGGUUUUAUUUAAAAUUAAGUAAAAAAAAAACAAACAUCACCUAAAUAAGUUACUUUUUUAUAAUUAAUUUGACAAAAAAUUUAAGAUUUAAAAGCCUUUUUCUUAAGAAUAACCCCAAAACAAUAUUUUUCAUAUUUAACUUCUUAAUAAGAAUUUUCUUAUUUAAAACUAUUUUUAAAAAUAUUUUCAAAUAGAAACUUUAAUUUCUAUUAUUUAUACCAGCAUUAGCCAAUUGUUUUUGAGAAACAGGGUGGAAUGAAACAAAGUUGGAUAGAAUUUGAGGUGGGCUGAUGUGGAGUCUUGACUUAUGGAUUGAUGUGAAUACUAUAUACCUACAUGCUCCAAUUACUUUCAUUGUAAGUGCCUAUCUAUUGAUUACAAUAAGCUUAGGACUCCUCUCAUUCUUUCAAAUGUCUUGAUUCAAUCCUAACUGUCUAAUCUAUCAUCAUUGUGAGAAAGAAAAUAUAUAGCUUGUGAAAAUGUUACAACUUUUUUAUCCUUCUAAAUAAAAGUAAUUACAUUCAUACCAUCAAAAUGUGAAAAAUUCGUAAAAAUAUACAUUUGAUAACUUUUCCAAUGUGUCAAAGUGAGUGAUAGAAGGUGACUUUCUUAUCUUCUUUGGUUUCACCCCAUUUCAACUUACCAUUUUAAUAUAUGGCAUAAAGAGGAAUUUGAGACAUCUAACUUGAUUAUUUCAUUUUUAUAAUUUAUUUUUAUGAAAAAUAUUUUUUAAUUUGAUAAGUUAAAAAAAUAAGAAAAUGAAAAUAAAUUAAGUUACAUCAUUUUUAUUCAAUUUUAUAUAUAUGGGUAAGACAAAAUAAAAAACAAUACCCUAAUUUAAAAUAAAAUAUAAUUAAAAAUUAAUUAAUAUAGAAGAGUUGAAAUAAGUGGAAUAAGCUUAAAAUGACAUAUAAAAAUAAUAUAUAAUUUUUUCAUUUGUUUUUUUUUUCUUUUUUUUAAAAUUUUUCAUUUUUCUCAUAAUUUUUGAAAAUCAAAUAUCUUCCUAAGAUUACUCAUAAAAUUUUGUUUUCUUUCUAUUAACAAUUCAAGUAAUAAUGAUACUACAUAUUUACCUUGAUGAUUGAUGACUUCACUUUCUUUUUAGCCAUCUAUAAAACUCCCAUAUUUUUUUCAUUAAACACAAGAAUACCAAGGCAAAUAAUUAAAAAUUGAGUUAGGUAUUUGGUGAUUCAAAAAUAAGGUACCCUUAAAAGGAGGUAUCUGGUCAUAGUAUGUCGUUGAAAGAGGAAGAUGUUAGUUUGGCACCAUCCUAAGGAGGUACCCUUGCGACUCACUACCUUAAAGUCAAGCCAAUCCCAUGACCUAAUCGCUAGUAGUGUCAUCCUGACAAACCGUAUUGCAUUUUUCUGUUUAGCAAAAAAACCCUACAAACGACUCGUGAUGACACAUGAUCUUCUUGCUCCACAUACAUGACCACUAUAUAAAAGGAAUGCUCCCUUGCAUAAAAUACCCAAGAAAAAAGACUGUAAACAAAUAUGCAUCUCAAUUAUUCAAUAAUAACAAAGAAUUCUAACUUUUCAUUUUCCAACCUAACAUUUUAAGAUUAUAUUCUUCAUAUUCUUGUGAGAUUUUUCUUUAACAUCAGGAGGUGGAAAUUAGACAAUCAUGGUACACCCAUAGAUUCAGGGUUAGAUUUUGAGUUCAUGAUUAUCAGUUAUCACUGCAUUUUUCCAUUUGGUAAAAGGUGGUAAUCACAUCAUAAUCUUUUAUAUAUGCAACUUAUUCUAAAUGUGUUGGUCCUGUCAAUUUGACAAAUAAAGGAGAAAAAUAUUGUAGAUGUGACGGCUUGGCUACGUUCAUUACACUUGGAAACAACCAGAAAUAAUCUGGCCAAAGCCCACUAGAGAAUGUGGGGAGGAUUUGAUUUGAUCAUUUGAUGGGUACAUUUUGUCUGGCAUGUAUCAAAUAUAGUCAAAAUGAGGAAGCGUCUUCACUUCAUCUUCUUCAGUGGGGGAAAUGACAUUUUCACUGCUUUCUUUGGUGCCAGACAGAACUUGUUAAAAUUUUGUUGUACAAAAUCUUUCCAAUACUUGAAAAUCUCCUAGUCUGGGUAGUCAAUACUCAAUAUAAUCAAUUAAUCAUCUCCGUCGUCGAUUUCCCCAUUUACUAUACAUUUUGAAUACCUAAACUAGGGUUAUAAUUUGGGUGGAUUGAUCAGGUUGAUGGUUAAUCCGAGUUUAACCUGAAUUAAAAAACAACUAACCUGAUUCCAACCCAACCUAACCUCUAAUUCAAGGUACUCAACCCAACUUUAUUUCUAUAAGCUCGGAUUAAAUUUGAGUUGAUCGAGUUGAUCGGACAGUAUAAUUCAAAAUCCAUUUAUAAUUCUUUUAUUUUUUUUCUAUAUAUUUUUUAUGAAAAAUUAAAUAGUAAAUAAGAUAAAAUUUCAUGAUAACAAUAAAAAAGUAAAAAUAAAUUUAUAUAUCUUUCUAAAAUAAUUCAAACUAUAUGAUAUAAUAUAAUUUGUUAUAAAAUGUGAGAAUUUGUAGCAUUGUGAAAAUUUGUGGAUGAUCAUACGUAAUGAUGUUUAUUUCUUUAUAACUCCCCAUAAAAAGGAAAGACCCCUAAUGAAAAUCAAUUCAAUUUUCUCACCAUGCAUUUUAUUAUCUCUUUCUUAGUUUCUUCUUCUCUCACUUUGUUUUAUAACACGUUAUCAAAAGAAAUAGUCUCUACAAAAGAACCCGAAAGAUUUUUAUUUUUCAGAGAAAUAGAAAGACGUUUUUCUCUUCAGAGAAAUCAAAAGACUCUUCUAUUUUCUUUCUCACAAAAAGAUAUGUCAUAAACUUAUAUCAUAAUUUUCUAUUUUAUUUAUAUAUGUGAUAAAAUUACCCUUUGAUUCUCUAUUUUCACUUAUUUUAUUUGAAUACAUAAACAUGUAUAAAUAUUACUUAGAGAAUAUAAUUUCUUUCUAGUAAAAAAUCAUGGAAAAAAAAUUCAUAACUAGAAGUUAUAAAAACAAAUAUGUACAAUUCCUAUAACCAGAAGUUAUGAGGUAAAUUAUAAAUAAUGAGAUAAAUUCAUAACCAGAAGUUAUGAAAAAUAUGUGCAAUCCCUAUAACCAGAAGUUAUGGGGAAAAUUACAAAAUUAUAAAUAUAUGGCUAGAAGUUAUGUAUAUGAUCUAAUAUUUAUUUUUAAUUAUGCUUAUAACUGGAAGUUAUACCAAAUAAUAUUAUAUAGUCAGAAGCUAUAAAAAAUAAAUGUUCAUAGUCUGAAACUAUGUACAAAUCUACAUAAUGAAAGUUCAUAGCCCGAAGUUAUACACAAAUUUACAUAAAAAUAAUUCAUAACCGGAAGCUAUGUAUUAAUUUGCACAUUUUUGUUAUGAUAAAAUAAUCAUAGUCCGAAGCUAUGAAAAAGAAAUCUAUAUAUAUAUAUAUAUAUAUAUAUAUAUAUAUAUAUAUAUAUAUAUAUAUAUUAAAUUUUAAUUCCUAUUUCAUAUUUAUACAUUUUUACCAUAUGUAUAAUUGAUAAAUCUUAGGUUACUAUAUUUUUAGAUAUUAUUUACUUGAAAUAUUGUUAAAACAUUUUAUUAAUUUAUUCAUAGUUUAUUCCAAUAAUUGAAAUAUUUUUCUAAUUAAUAUUAUUCUAUAUAUAUAGUUUUUAGAUAAUGUCAAACCUUGCAAAACUUGAAUUUGUUGCCCUCAAUAUUUCGGGCAAGAACUACUUAUCUUGGGUUUUGGAUGUUGAAAUUCAUCUAGAUGCGAUGAAUCUUGGAAAUACCAUUAAAAAAGCAAAUGACGCAUCCCUGCAAGAUCACACCAGAGCUUUAAUAUUCCUUUGCCAUCAUAUUGAUGAAGGAUUAAAAGGUGAGUACCUAACAGUCAAAGAUCCUUUCAUCAUUUAGAAUAUAAUCUAAAGGAAUGAUAUGACCACCAAAAGAUUGUAAUCCUUCCAAAGGCAAGCUAUGAUUGGAUGCACUUGAGAUUAGAAGAUUUCAAGUUUGUUAGUAACUACAACUCAACCUUAUUCAAAAUUAGCUCAUAAUUAAAAUUAUGUGGAGAAAAAGUCACUGAAGAAGAUAUGCUUGAAAAAACAUUUAUGACUUUUCAAGUCUCGAAUGUGUUAUUGCAAUAACAAUAUCGAGAACAUCAUUUCACUAAAUAUUCAUAAUUGAUCUCAUGUCUUCUUGUGGUUGAACAAAAUAAUGAGUUUUUAUUGAAAAACCAUCAAUCUCGUCCUAUUGGGUCUAUCUCAUUGCCUAAAGCCAAUGUCACAUCUGUUCAAACUCUUGGACAUGGACAAGGACAAGGACGUGGAUAUGGACGAGGUCGAGGAAGAGGAUAUGGUUGUGAUCGAGGUCGUGGCAAACCUCAUUGUUCUCAUCGUAGUGGUUCUCAAAGUAAAAAGAACAACUCAAACCACCAAAAGUGGAAUAAUUCAAAGGCACAACCUGAAAAGGGGAUAAAACCACAAAGUAAACAUGCUCGUGAGAAUAAGUGUCAUAGAUAUGGUAUGAAAGGACACUGAUCACGUACUUAUUGUACUUCAAAGCAUUUGGAUGACCUUUAUCAAGUCUUAAUAAAAGCAAAAGGAAAGGAAGUUGAAUGAACUUCAUUGAUAGUGAUGGCCCAGUGGAUCUUACCCAUUUAGAUAUUUCAGAUUUCUUUGAGAAACCUAAUAGGAAAAUUGACCAUCUAAUUGGUGAUGAAAAUGUUUGUUAUCAUUAAAUGUUAUGUUUUUAUUUAGUUAUUUGCAAAUAGGUUUAUUUUGUUAUCAUUUGAACACAUUAUUUAUUAUUCAUCUUGUAUAGUUUAUUUCACAUUUUAUUCUUUCUUAUUUAAAUUCUUUUCUUUACUUAUACUUAAAGAUACAUGGAUCUGUCUCAUACCUUGAUACAUCAUAUGACAUCCAAUGUAGAUGCAUGCCUUGCAUAUUGUUCCACAACACACACAAUCCCUCGUGAUAAAAACUAUUUUUCCAACUUAUCAUUGGUUAAGUCUAAUGUUAAUACAAUAUUAGGUCUUAUAGACUUGAUUCAAGGCUCUGGAAGAACAACUAUUAUUUUACCUAGUGGAACUAAAAUUCACAUUAAUGAUGCUCUUUAUUAUGUUAAAUUCAAGCGAAAUCUUCUUAGUUUCAAGGAUAUUCGCUGAAAUGGAUAUCACAUUGUAACUAUGAAUGAUGGUAGUAAUGAAUACAUUUUCAUUACUUUAGUUAUUUUUGGGAAAAAACACACCUUGGAAAAGCUUAUUUCUUAUUCUUAUGGGUUAUAUCGAACAAUCACUAGACUCGUUGAGUCAUAUGCUAUCAUGAAUCAGAAGUUCUGUGACUUAAAAACUUUUAUGAUUUGGCAUGAACGUCUUGGUCAUCCAGGAUUAUCCAUGAUGUGUCGUAUCAUUAAUAACUCUUUUGGGUAUUCCUUGAAGAACCAGAAGAUUCUGAUGCCCAAUGAUUACAAUUGUGUUGUUUGCUCACAAGGUAAAUUAAUUAUUAGAUCAUCAUUUACCAAGGUUGAAUAUGAAUCACCAGCCUUUCUAGAAUGUAAUCAAGGUGAUAUUGUGGACCUACUCAUCCACCUAGUGGACCUUUUCGUUAUUUUAUGGUUUUAAUUAGUGCAUUAACUCAUUAGUCUCAUGUUUGUCUUCUUUUAGCUAGAAAUGUUGCCUUCGCUAGGUCACUUGCUCAAAUGAUUCAACUUAAGGCACAAUUCCCUAAUCAUCCUAUUAAGACAAUUUGUCUUGAUAAUGCUGGUGAAUUCUCAUCUCAGAAAUUUCUUGAUUAUUGUAUGUCGGUUGGUAUUGAUAUUGAAUAUCCUAUUGCUCAUACUCACACUUAGAAUGGAUUAGCUGAAUCUCUUAUUAAACGUUUGUAAUUGAUUGCAAGACCAAUACUCUUGAGAACAAAAUUGUCUUUGUCUGUUUUGGGGCAUGCUAUUCUUCAUGCUACCACUUUAAUUCAAAUUCGUCCUACAACUAAUCAUGAAUGCUCACCUUUACAACUUGCUUUAGGCUCUCAACCAAAUGUUUCACAUUUACGUAUUUUUGGUUGUGUUGUUUAUGUUCCCAUAACUCCACCUCAAUGUUCCAAGUUAGGUCCUCAACAUCGACUUGGUAUAUAUGUUGGUUUUAAUUCUCCCUCCAUUAUUCGUUAUCUUAAACCAUUCACAAGUGAUGUUUUUACUGCUCGCUUUGCAAAUUGUUAUUUUGGUGAAAAUGUUUUCCCAUUAUUAGGGGGAGACAAGUCAAUUCCAUAAGAAUGGAAGAAACAUUACAUGGUAUGUAUCCUUUUGUCUCAUCUUGAUCCCUGUACAAGGUAGUGUGAACUAGAAGUUUAGAGGGUUAUUCAUUUGCAAGGGCUUGUAAAUCUAUUACCUAAUGCUUUCACAUAUAUAAAUAAAGUAAUAAAGUCACACGUAUUGGUUGUGAAUACCCUAUCACAUAUUGAUGUCCUUAAAGGACAACUGGAGAAUGUCAUAGCAAGUGAAUCUAAGACAUGCCUGAAGUGUGGUAGACCUAUUGACUCAAACGAUUCAGUUCCUAGAAAAAAAAAACAACACAUGAAAAACUUGGUACUCUUGAAGAGUUCAUAAAUAUGAAAGUGUCAAAUAAUGAAACCCAACUUGAUAAAUAGGUAGCCCUUAAAGAGGCACAAAUUGAUCAAAUACUAGUAUCUAGAACUAAAUAGAUCUCAAUGAGUCACACGGUAGAAACAAGGAACCGUAGUGACAUUAUCAUAAACAAUAUAUUUGCAUUCCAAGUGGCUAUGGACAUCAUGAGAAAUGAUGAAGAACUAUGGAUGGAUGUCAAAAAAGGAAUGAUUGGCCAAAAUGGAAAGAAACAAUCCAAAUAGAGCUAAACUCAUUAGCAAAACAAGAGGUAUUUGGACUUGUAGUUCAAACACCUGGAAACAUAAAACCUGUUGGAUAUAAAUGGGUCUUUGGGAAAAAAACAAAAUGAGAAUGAUGAAAUCAUAAGAUAUAAAACAAAAUUUGUUGCUCUCAAAGAUCUGGUAUAGACUAUGAGGAAGCUUAUUCUACUAUAAUGGAUGUAAUCACAUUUCGAUACUUGAUAAGUUUAACAGUCUCUGAAGGACAAGAUAUGCGUCUCAUGGAUGUUGUUACAACCUAUUUAUAUGGGUCUAUAGAUACUAACCUAUAUAUAAAAAUCCCUGAAGGAUUCAAAUUGCCUGAAGUAACUAAUCCAAAACCUCGAAACAUGUACUCAAUUAAACUACAAAGAUCUCUAUACUGAUUAAAGCAAUUUAGACGCAUGUGGUAUAAUUGUUUGAGUGAGUAUUUGUUAAAAGAAGGAUAUGUGAAUAAUUAAAUUUUCCCAUGUGUUUUUAUCAAGAAAUAAAAAAUUGGGCUUACAAUAAUUGUAGUAUAUGUGGAUGAUUUGAACCUUAUAGAGACUCUUGAUGAGCUCACAAAAACAGUCAAUUAUUUAAAGAAGGAAUUUGAAAUGAAAGAUUUGAGAAAAACAAGAUACUGUCUUGGCCUACAAAUUGAGCAUUGUUCAAAUGACAUAUUAGUCCAUCAAUCGACAUAUAUAGAUAUAGUAUUAAAACGAUUUUUUUGUGGACAAAUCACAUCCAGUCAAUUCCCCCAUGGUUGUUUGUUCACUUGAAGUGAACAAAGACCCAUUUUGUCCUAGAGAAGAAAAAUAAAGAAUUGUUUGGUUCAAAAGUACCAUAUCUCAGUGCAAUUGAUGCACUAAUGUAUCUUGCAAAUUGCACUAGACCAGACAUAUAGUUCUAUCCCAACUAAAAGGCAUUGGAAUGAGAUUAAACAUAUAUUGCGAUACCUUCGAGGAACAAGUGACAUGGGCUUUUAUUAUUCAAAAGAAUCAAAAUCACAAUUGAUUGGAUUUGCGAAUGCAGGAUAUCUUUUAGAUCCUCAUAAAGUUCGAUCUCAAACGGGAUAUAUCUUUACUUAUGGUGGAACGACAAUAUCUUGGAGAUCAGUCAAGUAGACAAUGGUAACCACAUUUCAAAUCAUUAAGAAAUUCUUACAAUUUAUGAAGCAAGUUGUGAAUGUGUAUGAAUAAGGUCAAUGAUUCAACAUAUUCAAGAAACAUAUGAACUACCUUUCAUCAGAGGCAAUGCAACCAAGUUACAUGAAGAUAAUGCUGCUUGUAUUGUACAAAUUAAAGGAGGAUUCAUAAAAGGUGAUAAAACUAAGCAUAUUUCCCCUAAAUUCUUCUAUACUAACGAGCUCCAAGAGAAAUGUGAGAUUAAUGUUCAACAGAUUCAGUCAUAAAAUAAUCUAGCAGAUUUAUUCACAAAAGCAUUACCUUUGACCUCAUCGAAAAAGUUAAGGAAUGACAUUGGAAUGCGAAGAUUGAUAAUCAUGUCUAUAUGAGGGGGAAAAAAAAAAAUACUAAUAUGGAUAUGCUGCACUCUUUUUUCUUUGUCCAAGUUUUGUCUUACUGAGUUUUAUUGGCAAGGUUUUUAACGAGGUAGUUACCAUAUUCUUAUGAUCAUCCAAGAGGGAGUGUUAUAAACUGUGAGAAUUUGUAGCAUUGUGGAAACUUGUGGAUGAUCAUCCGUAAUGAUGUUUAUCUCUUUGUGAUUCUUUAUAAAAGGGAGAGACCCCUAAUGAAAAUCAAUUCAAUUUUCUCUUCGUGCAUUUUAUUAUUUCUUUAUUGCUUUCUUCUUCUCUCACUUUGUUUUACAACAUAAUUUGAUUUUUUUCUUAAAAAUUUAAAAAGAAAAUAAAUAUCAUUAUGUAAGAUAAUAUGCAUUAUAAAUAUUAUAAUAGUAUUAAAUUAGGUUCAGGUUAGACUUGAGUUGCCUAAACCUUGACCCAAGCCCAACUCAAAUUGAGUUUGGGUUGAAAAAAUCUAACAUAAGCUUAACUUGAGUACUGAAAAUAAUUAUCCAAGCUUGUCCAAAUGUUGGGUUCGAUUCGAGUUAGGUCAAGCCAACCCAUCAAAGUUGCACCUCUAUCUUAAAUGCUCAGGUUGAUUCUAUAGUCUGUCUAAUUUAUUGAUCUAAAAAAGAAAUGAGAGGACAAAAAACACUUGAGAAAGGAAAAAAAUACAUAUAUUUGAUUUAGGGAAAAUAUUUAAGAAAGAAAAAAUUUUUUAAAAAAAUAAAAAACAAAUAUUUAAUUUUUUAUAGAGGAAUUAAAAUAAGUAGGUUUGAAAUAAUAUAUAAAAAUAAUUUAUUAAUUUUAAGUUUAUUUUUAUUUUUUUUGUUUGUAUUUCCUUUUUCUUGUAUUUUCUUUCCAAUUUUGGGAAAUAGAUAUAACCUAAAAAUGAUUUUCCGAUAUUUAAUUUAUCAUGAAAAAUAUGAAAAAAAUUAAACAUAAUUAAAAUUAGUUAUAAAUUUAUAAAAUUUCAAGUUAUUUAAUCUUUAUCUAGAAGAAAAAAAUAAAUAAAAUAGAAUUAAAAAAACUUGUAAAAAUAAUUUAUUAAUAUUUUUUUACUCUCUUUAUAUAUAUAUAUAUAUAUAACAUAGUGUUAUGAAAGAACGAGAAUAGGCAACAAGAAAAAACAAACUUAGGAACACUUAGAUUUAUCUGAUAAACCCUAAAUGGGAAAAACCACAAGUAGAGGAAAAGAAAAUCCUUUAUGUCAAAAAUUGUUACAAAAAGGAAAGAGUUAUGAGUGACUAUUGCAUAACCUAAAAAAUACAUCACACACACUUUCCAAAAACUCUCAUAAAAUUUCUUUAUUACAUAUGUCACAUCGCGAGCUUUUUAGGUUGAACCCAUUAAAAUUUGGGUUACCAAACUCUAAUACAUUGGAAUAAAAUAAAAUAAAAUAAAUUAAAGAAAAAAAAGAAGAAAAAUGAAAAUAGAGGUGAUAAGAAUUAAUUUUACAUUCAGUGAGCGGAAUUUUGAGCCAGAAGACCAAAUACAAUCUUACCUUAAGGAUGAAGUUAUGGAUAGAGUUUCCAAGGCUCUUUGCUUUUUUUUUUUCUCUAGUGCUCCACUAGAUAUAAUAAACAAAGGAUUCCCAUAUUAAACUUGAAUUCUAAAUGGUAGCCCAAAUUCCCUAAGGAACCUACCCUUAUGGUUGCCAUGAUGAUGAAAUGCCCCUGCUUUGAUAUGAAACUAAGUUAGAUUAAUAUGAAUCGGUAUUAAUAUAUGAAGGAGAAGUGCUGUUUGGGAUACCCCUUAAAAGACAAUUUCACAUUUGCUUUUAAAUGUCCAAUCAUUCUCUCUUGUUCCAAGCUUGGAAGCUUCAUUCAUUAAACACACAUGCAUGUGCAUUAACAAUACAAACCAACAAUGAUGCCUAUAUGUGCUUCUCUACGAGCCAAUUCUUUUGUUUUCUUUUUUGCUUCCCCCAUAGAUCAGUUUGAGCACAUUUAAAUGGUGUUAACUAAUAUGAUUUAGAAAGUUUUUUAUUAUUAAGACAAAGCUAUAUAUGAGAAGGACAAGCUUGCUUCAUUGUAGCCCAAACAAAAAAUUCUCGUUUCCAAAAAUUAAUAUAUAUAGAAGGAUUUACACCUUCAAAAACAUAUCUUUCAAAAUUUGUUUAAGGAUUAAGCAAGUUUGUUCAUGUCAUUUGAAGUUGUUGAAUACUUAUGAUAAAUUGAUAAAACGCUAAUUUAUUUAAUUUAGAAAAAUUGCUACUAUGUAAUUAAGUAAUUGGACUUAUCAUUUCAAACUAGACUUUUUUUUUUUCAAUAAUUUUAAAGCGGAUUAAGAAUCAAUAUAAAUUAAAAUUGUGAAAUUCAUACUUUUCAUGACUAUAGCGUGAGAAAAGUGAGAAUUUUUCAAAUUGGUCUUACAUGAAUAUUGAGACACAUGAGUGAAGAACUGACAUAAGACUAAAGCCUAGAGCCAUUAAUCAUGGUUUCAACCUUUCAGGACUAAGCAGUGUACUGAGUCAACUCAACAAAGCAACCUGAACCCUUCUAUCGAAAUAAUAAUCACAGUUUCUGUAUUUUGUAAUUAAAGCAGUUCUUAAACGAGGCAUAAGCUCCUCGUUCCGGGUUAGUGUAGUCAACUGGGGAAGAAAAUAAGGGAUUGGGUUGGUGGAGACAUGAUUGACUUGAAAAAGAAUGCCACUAGAGAAUGUUUGGGAACAUCAAUUGGGAAGAUAUGAUCAUCAUAUGGGAUGACAGCAUUUCAACGGGGUGGAUUAAUGUUUGACCAUUGUUUCAAUUGAAUUUAGCUGCAUGGGUGUGAAUCAAAUUUGGCCACAUGAUUUAAUGGACCAACAUUCAAGAUGCUAAUUACUGCUGAGAUCAACCAUGGAGUGGAUAUUGCCUUGCUGCACUCACGCAAGAUGCCAAAAAGAUUGAGCUAUCAAUGGUGGUUGGAACACCCACCAACUACACCAUAUAAUAAUGUUAAGUUCAUGUUUUCUUUGAAAGGGCCAAAUCAAAUUCAUUUUGAAGUUUCAUCACAGCUUUUGUACUUAUUCAAUAAAUUUUAUUAAUUAAAGAAUUUAUAAUUUAAAAUAGUUUAAUAAAUAUCAGGAAAAUUUUUUUUUGUUUAAUAAAAUGUUAGUAAUUUAAUUAAUGAACUUUUUAAUUCGUCAUUCCUCUUAUGUAUUCUCAAGGAGCCUAUCUGGGCAAGGCAAUAAACCCACAUCAUAAUUUAAUUUUAGAAUCAAUGGGCGGAAUGGAAAAUAGGGGAUCGGUCGUCCAGUGGGUCAUUACCAUAUAGGCCAUCAUUCCAUGAGGACCUUCGACAAUAAACACACACCAUAAUGAUCAUUUCUUUUCUUUUUUUUCUCCUCUGUGUUGACUGUUGACAUGGUUGGUGGGUCAUGACUUCAUUUUAUAGACCAUUCCACUGCACACAAUCGUCAAAUCCAAUAUUGCGACUGUGUUGGUCCUUAGAUCAGGCCAUUACUAGUAUUUCCGGUGGUGAUCCACACCUCAAGGGAUUUCAUGAUGCAUUGUGUUAACAUAUAUACAGGCCAUGUUUCUAGCGCAAAGGUUGAACAUGCAUGGGGAGACACCCCAUACCAUAAAUGAGAGUAGUGCUAGGGCUUUGAUUAGUCAAAAAGAAGAAAGAAAAUUCCUUGUGAAUGGUUCUAGAAGUGUAAUGCACAAGAGGGAAUCUUCCAUAGCGAGAAAGGCUUUAAGGUAAUUUACAGGUCCAAGCGCACUUGGUAGUAUAUUCAAAUCCUCCUUUAUAAAUAUAUGACAUACCACCAAGCUCAUUACAGUACACCGGCAAAACUCAGAAGAGGGAAAGAGAGAUGAUGGCAGCAGAUACCACCUCCUCCAAUGGAUUUUGGCAGUUGAACUCUCCAUUGCCAUACCUGUUUGUUGGGUUGGCUCUACUGCUGGGCGUUAUAGCGGUUGCACUCAUCAUACUAUCCUGCUCACACAAACAGCCUCCUGCAGACUUGGCAACUGAUGAUGACAAAGAUAAGCCACCAAAACCGAUGCACACAGACCCAGACACCGUGCUCGUAGUCAUGGCAGGAGACGACAGUCCCAAGUACCUGGCAAAGCCCAUGGCGUCGACUACCCAUACUGAGCAAGUCUGAGCUGGGGAUCGUCCGUCACGGUAGACAUGAAGUUCUUUAUUUUCUCCUUACAGUAUGGGCUUUUGUGUUUGUCAGAAUUCUCGGGAAUAUGUAAAAUUUUUAGGUUAGAGGGGAUGUUAAUCAUCUUGUAAAUUAGCUAUGUAUCGAUCCAUCUAAUAUAUCGUUCAUUAUUUCUCCUUCUCUUUUAUUAUUUUCUGGUAUGAAUCAGUAGUUCUUUUUCCCCUCAGUGAAGAACAAUAUGAAUUAGCACUCCAAUUCAUUUUGUAUGACUUCAAAAUCUGUCAUCCUAAAGCUAAGAAAACUCAGAUCAUCAUGUGUUUAGAGGCCCAGAUAGAUUACAUCAACAUAGGACUAUAAUUCUAAAUUACAAGCAACCUCUUCUGCAGUUUGUCAUCAACAAAUGACUCUGUAUGAGCAGUGGCAUUGGCAAUACAAAUUUUGCAGAUCCCAUGUUUUUUUUUUUUUUUUUUUAUCAUCCAAAGGGAGCUACUGAUAAUUCAACUUAGUAACUUAGGCUACAUUCGGAAAUUAUAACAUUCCAAAAUCUUAGAUACAAAAUGUUAUUGAAAUGUUCUAAAGGACUUUACCAGUAUUAAGAUUCGGGGGUUGUGAGUUAAGAAAAAAGGAAUGAACUUUCAACAUGGGUCUUGGUCUUAAGAAAUGUUAGUUUAAUACCGCACUGGCUGGGAAUGGAUAAGGUUGGAGGACGUGGCAUCUCGAAUAUAAUUUUUGGAGCAGGAAACUUUAGGAAACUGUAGUUUGAAAAUGGAGAGAAGAGUAAGUAAAAAGAGGCAUCCCAGAUAGUCUAAAGCUUGCAUUUCAAGUGGGUGACAUUAGUUUGUUUUUGUUGGGCAAUUUCCUUAUUGAAGUUGAUUGAAAAUGACUGGCGACUCUCUUUCUGUAUGUCUGGCAGCGCCCACUAAAUCAUCCAAUGACUAAUAAUAGAGAAGACUAGGUGAUUAGAAAUUAGAAUAAGAACCUUAGCUUGGCGAUGAAGUAAUGGAUAUUGGAAGUAUGUAUAUGUUUCUUUCUCUUUUGCUUGUUGAUCUGGGGUUUGUUCCAAUUCCUUUCAUCGUAGGUGCUCCAUUAGGAUAACCAAAGGAUCCAUUAACUUGUCCUUGAAGAAUAAACUUGCGUUGACUUUAAAUUGAUUAAAUCAUGCAACAUAGUUUCUAAGCAGUUCAAAAGGUAGCUUCGUAGUAAUUUAAUAAUUAAGUUGUCUUUCAUUGAUUAAGAGAAAUUACAAAUUUUAAUCCUAUGUUUGAUUUUUGGAAAAUACUCAAAAGAGGGGUGGGGAAUUUUUAUUUUUAUUUUUAAAUUAAUUUUCUUACAUAGACAUGUCUUGGAAAAAAAAUGAAGAAAAAACAUCGGGAAAAGAAAAGGAAAAAUAUUAAAAGUUUUUUCUUAGAUAAAAUUGAGUAAAGUUUGAAGAAAGUGUAUUCUUUAACCAUAUAAUUUUUUUCCCUCAUCUUUUUUGUGGAUGUCUGAAAUGAAGAAAAAAGUUUCAUGAAUUUUUCUUAUCUUCUUUUUUUUUUUUUAUAAUUUUUCUCUUUAUUUUUUUUUUUUCAGACUUUUCAAGCAUCAAAUAUAACAUGCAUAAAGAAAAAAGAUAAUUAUUUCAUAGAGAGGAGAAUGAAAUGAGUCAAAUAUUUUUUCCUCUAUGGCACUUGAAGGGGCCAAAAGUUUGAUUUCACUUCAGCCAAAAACAAGUACUUGUAAACUGAAUCACCUUCAAGUAGUUUGGGAAAAAUCUGCACUUGAAAAAGUUUGCAUAUAUAAAGCACAAAAAAGACUAUUGUAAGUACAACAAGAGUGAAAAAUUAUGAUCCCAAGGCAUAUAAAACUUCCAACCUUACAAAAAGGAAAGAGACCUGAAAAAGUAAGAGAUUUCAUAAGAAACCAUGAAGAAAACUUCAUAAACACCUCCUUCCAACCAAAAAGGAGUAAAUCCUCCUCCAUGGAAGUCUCCCCAUGCGAACAUAAUCUAAACCCUUUUUUGUAUCUUUCACUGCAUAUAUUUUAAUAAAGAAGUAUAUUCAGAGAUGAACCUUAUCUUUCCCUUGGUCAUAGCUUACACUUAAAACUAUUUGAAGAAAAAUUUAAUAUCUUCAGCACCCAUAUGGUAUAAUAUAUAUCAAAUUUUAAAUCUCAACUCUUAAUGUGUGUAACUAAAUUUAGAUUAUGUAUUGAAUAAAAAUAUAAAGAAAUAUAAAUUAGAUAUAACUAAAUGAGAUGAAACUACCAAUAAAUAAGACCAAGGUUCAAACAUCCAACAAUGACUCUUCUCUUAUUUGAAUGGUUUUGAUGUCAUUCAAUUAGCAUUUGAGUACAUUAUUUGAAAUUUCUGUGUUUUCAUUCAUGUCUUAUGUUUAUCGUUUAAAGUUAUAACACUAGAGCAUUAGAUUUUCCAUGGUGACUUGACUUUACUUGGUCAUUUUUUAACUUCUCUGUUCCUUUCUUUCCACCUACCUAUGUUUGUGUGUCUAUUAAUAUCAAAUUAAUUAUUUUGUCUUUUAGCAAUAAUGAGAUUGAACUCUUUUAAAUUGUCAAUAAAAUAAAAUAAAAUAAAAUUAAUUUUCCUAUGAUAGAAAAAAGGUACCAUAGAAAUGAUUAGGUAAAGAUGGUUGAAAAAUCAAACACAUCACAUUGACAAUUUCCCUUCUUAAUUUUCUUCUCCUUUUUGACGUUAUCAGUGGAUCAUAUGAGUUUAAAUUUUCCUGUACUACCAAACCCAAUUAAGUAUAAUAACUAAUUGCAAGAGGCUAUUAUGGUUUUAUGGUUCUAAGAACAGGCCAUUACUAGUACUGUUAAUCUUUUAAUGAUCAUCCGGAGGGCAUGACAUUAUAUCCUAAUUGGGUCUAGCCAUUAAUUCACAAGCAAAGCAUAGAGCCAUCUUGUUCAUUUCUUGGCUGCAAUAAAUAAUUUAACAUUGGUGAGAUAUGGAGUAAGAAAAGUGAUGAGAAUAUGAAUCUUUCCUUAUGGAUGAAGUUAUAGUUAGACUACUAACAGCAUACGUGUGUUUCUUUCUUUGAAGCUUCUGGGGUUAUGCACCAAUUCUUUUCAUAUUAGAGUACAAAAAGCAUCCACUAUUUGGUUGGAGAAUAACCCUUAUAUUAUUACAUGAUACUAAAUGAUAGUACUCCACUCUUUCUCAGCAACUUACCCUUGUAGAUUGGUAUGAAUAAUGUGAAACUCAUUAUCGAUCCAUGUCUUUAUUUUACUCACAUGUAUCCCUACAACCUUAAUAAAUUAUGAAAACAAAAGGUCCUAAAAAAGCAGAUUGAUGAGUAAUUUUUCUCAAAGAAAAUAUUAUAUAAGUAGGAAAGGGGGAGUGAUUGGCUCCCAAGUGCCUGGUCAAGAAGGGAGAUUGUUGGUGCUGGGGUCCCCUUAAAAGACCAGUUCACACUAACUUUGUAGAGGGCUAAUCAGUGUUUCUGUUCUUGGAGCACUUGGUAACAUCCUCAUAUAAAUUACUCGAAUUAGUUUGGUUUCAAUAUGCCUUGAUCAUUUUCACAAUGAGGAAAGUAUAAUAAUGAUGCUGCAGGCUUUGUAUGGUCAUUUUUUAAAUAUUCUCUCAUUCCUUCCUUGAAGUAACCUGCUUAAAGGGAUAUUAAAUUGUUUGUAUGACAACUUAGAAUUGUUUCCUUCCCACUCUUGCAAAUUCAAUUAUUAUAUACAUAUUUUGGAAAAAACUUAUAAUGUUAGAAAAUUUUCAUAAUCACACAUCUCAGCUGAUUCAUCAAAUAGAGGAAUUGUUCACAUGUAAAGAUUUUGAAUGUCUAAUGCAAUAAAAAAAAAAAGGGCAAAACCAAACACCUUCUAUUCUAUUGUAAUUGAGUAUAGAAGACUCAUGAGUUAAGGCUUCACUUAAAUUUUCAAGGCUGAUAUCUCACAUCAAAUAAGAAAAAAGGUAUGCGACUCUUCAUAUAUAUAUAUAUAUAUAUAAAGGGCAUAUUGGAUUCAAAAUGGAUAAUAUCUGUAUAGUUGAGAGUGAAUUAUUACAAAUUGUAUCGGAUCUAAUUAUUGACUACGAUCUUAUAGAACACAAUGUGACAUUUUGUCUACAUGAGAGGUAAUUGUGAUAUUCCACACAUGAGAUGGAGUGAAAAAAGUAUUUAUGACAUUAUAUAUAUGUAUAAGUUUGUCUUAACCAUGUAGAUGUAUUUUAAAAUUGUAAAAGCUCAAGGUUGAGAGCUUCGUAUCAGGUUGUAAUAAUUUACCAUAUUUGCAUUUUGUAAAGAUGAUAAUGUUAAUCUUCCACUGGGUCAUACCUAUAAACAAGGAAGAAGAUAUAAAAAAAUGUCAUUACAUCUCAUUGAUGAUUGAUGUAUAUUUAUAUACAAAUAAUGUUUGUGGGAUAAACUUGACUUAUAUUCUAAUUCAAACUCUAUCUCUUACUCUAAUUCAAAUUUAUAAUAGACUUUUGUUCUAAUUCAAAUUUUAUAUCCUAUUUUAAUUCAAACUAACAAUAAAUAAUAGAUAAAUACUAAAGAAAAACAUUCACUUUUCCUAUCAUAUUUUAACGUACUCCCUUAAGAUGGAGCUCUAAUACCAUAUAGAGAAGGAAAUAAACAAGGAAAAUCUAACAUUGCAUUCUCACUUAUGAUUGAUGAAUAUUUAAUACAAAUAAUGUUUGAGGAUAAAUGCCCACUUCUACUCUAAUUUAACUUUUGGGUCCUAUUUUAAUUCAAAUAAAUAAUAAAUAAAUAAAUAUUAAGGAUAAACAUCAACUUUCUCUUAAAAUACGAUCUCAUUUUAAGUGUGUUGGUUCUCACAAAAUUGACAAACCAAAAAGGAGAAAAAUGUGGGGAGUUGGGUUGAUGGAUGCGACGGCUCGGCUACGUUAAGAUGUUUCAAUGAUCAUACUUGGGAAAAAAAGGUGUGGAAUGUUGAAACCAAAUAUUAAGAAGGAAGCAUUUGGGCGGCGAAAGGCCACUAGAGAAUGUUGGGAGGGUGAGAACUGAGAAGGCUCUCGUGGCUCUCGUGGGUUUUGUUUAAUGAAUUAAAGAAUGGGAAUAAGGCAAGGAAACAUCUUCACUUCAUCAUCUUCUUCAGUGGCAAACAUAUAUAUAUAUAUACACUUUCUUUGGUGGCGAACACAUGGGAUCACAGUAUGGUUCUGUUUCUGUUGUACAAAAUCUUUCUCAAGAUUACAUGGGUGUGAACCAAAAUUGGAUCACAUGAUUGAAUGGACAUAGAUAUGUACCACCAGCUAGAUGCAAGCUUUUGGGUUCAACUAUUGACUGGAUCAUGAUUCAUGGCUGCCAUCAACUGAUGGCCGGUUAUGUGAUCAUCCUCUUCAUGGCGAGAAGUCGGUAAAUUCCUGCCAAUUAAGUUGGUAAAUCCAAAAAUUUUAGUCCUUGAAGGUUAUGUUUGGUCUCCAACAACCAAACAAAGGAAAAUGUUUAGACAUUUGAUUACUACCUUCAAAAAAGGUGUAAUAUAUAAAAGUCAAUUGCUUCCUUUCUUGUCUUUUUAACCACCAUUAGUGAAAAUGUUUAGACAUUUGAUUGUAUUAUAUACAAUCACACCCAGUAAGUAUAUAGUCUGUAUUAAAUUAUUACCAUCAGAUCAGGCCACUGCUAUCAGUUCUGGUCACCUGGGCUGGAUAGGGUAUUUUGGCAAGAUGUCAUUUUUGUAGUUUUUUUUUUCUUGGAAUAAUCAAAUUAUAUCUCAUACUUUCAUAAUUUUAUGAUAAAUGAUAGGAACUCUGACGUUGGGUGAGCCAAGCAAGCAUCAUAUUUAUUUAUUUUUUCUAUGUAUUAUAAAGAAAAUUAAACAUAAAAAACAAAUAAUUUAAAAAUAUAUAUAUUUACGAUAUGGGGUCAUGUCAGGACUCAGGAUUGGGAAUUGAAAGCUAGCUGUUAUUUUCCCCAUAAACAGAUAGGACCUAUAAAGCACAAAAGAGAAUCUUCCUUUGGGACCAAUGGCUCUUCAUUAAUAUAAAAUGUCCUAAUGCUCUCCACUAUUCAAACUUUCCCUCUAUAAAUACUGCACUCACCUUCCUCAUUUCGUCGCACUUGCAGAAAAGAAAAACCCACAGAGAAAGAGAUGAGGCCGGCAAACAGCAGCAGCUCCUCUAAUGAAAUAUGGCGGUGGAAUUCUCCAUUCCCAUACCUCUUUGGUGGGUUGGCUCUAAUCUUAGGCCUCAUAGGGGUUGCACUCAUCAUUCUAUCCUGCUCACAUAAGAAGAGGACUCCUUCACCCGAUCAUGACAAAGAUAAACCCCCAAAGACCAUCUGCACAGAACCAGACACAGUGCCGAGGGUCGUUGUCAUUAUGGCCGGAGACGAAAAUCCCACCUACUUGGCAACACCAGUCCCCACUUCAACUACUGCCUCUGAUGAACAAGUCUGAGUGUGUUUUUUUUUUUUUUUUUUUUUGUCCAUCAGCUAGAUUAGAUAGAUUAUUACCAACUUAGGCCUUCUUCCAUUCUUCAUUUUCCCCUUCAUUUACUUGGUUUUUUCUCUUUGUUUUUCACUUUCCGGGAAUAUGUAAAAUGAUGAGUAUGAAUAGAUGUGUUCUUAUGAUCAAUUAAGAUAUCUACAAGAAUGGUUCGAUCUUCCCCAAUCCUACCUGUUCUGGUUUCUAUGCUUUAUGAUUCGGCUGAUACAUGGAGGUGUUUCUUUUAGUAUGAUGAAAAUAUUUUGUGGUUUGCUUGAAAGGAGAAUGGUGAUAAUGCCAGGGAAUAUGCUAUAGACUUUAGUGAAGGGAAUUCUUUCUCUAGAUAGGUCCUGAAGAACCAGUUACGAUAGCUUGUAUUUCAUUACUGGCAUGGAGGUGGAUGGGCAACCAAUUUUGACAAACACUAACAUGAAAGUAUUUCAAAUUAUCGUUUUCCAACAUUACAGACAAUCUUGUUAAAUAUCCAAACCAUCUUCUCUGCGGUAAAGUUUGCAGAACAACCGAAACAAAUCAUGUUUGUUUUAGCGUGGCAUUUUGUUUGGUUACUUUUUGCAGGUUUUCAAUCAUCUGCAAUCCACUUAGUUUAUUUUUUCUUUUCUCCCCAUAAUUGAAGAACAUAGUUAAUUCCUCUUUUGCUUGCUUUGUCAUCUUCCAUUCUCACAUCCAAAUGUCUUAUUACAAAAGUGUAAUAUUUAACCUAUGCUUUUGCCUUUGAACUAAAUAAAUUCCCCUUCCUUCAUUUGUGAAAUUGUACAUUGCUGGACAAGAAAAACAUGAAAACUUAGGAACAACAUAGAGUAUGCAUAUACAUUUUUCCCGUAUUCUCUUUUCUCCAUGUCUUGUACUGCAAUUUCGCAAGGCUGCUGACAUAUAAAAUAGGUACUUAUCAAUAUUGGCUGGUGUGAGUGGGUUUGCGCGGCGGCUUGGAGACCCAAAAGUAAAUGAUGGUACAGUUGAAUGACUUGGAAAAAGGUGAUGACAUUAACUGUGAAUCAUGGCAAACACUUGUGAUAUCCCCACUAUGUUGUACAAGUUAUAGACAUUAUUUCAGGAUAUUCUGUAUUCUAAGGUGUAUUACUGUGGAGACCCACAUCCUUAGGGUCAACAGCUAGCACGUACAUGUAAUAUUUUAUUUAAGAAUAUAAAGUUUAAAACUUCAAGACAAAAAUUUUGGUUUUAUACAUUUAUCAUUGUAAAAGUAAAAGGCAAUAAGUAGCUUUUAGUAUGAGCCUAUAUAUUACAGAGAUAAAUGUAUGAGCCUAUGAGGUAAAUGUACCCUACCAAGGUCUUAAGAUCACGAUAUGGAAUAACAUUUCGCACGGAGAUUUGUAUAUGGGAAGAUAUCAAUAGUUCCAGUGAAACUUCAAUCCAACUCAACCGGGUAGAGUGGAUUUUUCUCCUUAAUAGUGGUCAAUGGUCACUAGGGAACUUAUGAUUAAGCUUACUCACACAUCAUAAUAACAUUCCAUGAGGUCAACAAGCACCAAAUCCUGAAAUAACUAAGCAUGCUGGUUUUUCAAACAAGCUUAACAGCAUUUUAAUGUUUGUUAAAGUUCAAAUAUUUAAUUUAGAUGGUGUCAGUUGGAACCCACACAAUUGGGUAUUAAUAAUAUUUUUAUUAAAAUAAUACUUUAUUGCAUUUUAUUUUCAAUGUAAUAACAAACCUAUUUAUAAUAGUCUCACCUCUCAAAAAAACAUGAUCUCCAAAAGAAUUCCCCUCAAACUCUCAAAAUCGUCUUCCGUAUCUCAAUUACAAUCCGUAUCCUCAAAGAGUCCUAUCUUUUCCAAAAAUUUCAAUGUGCUUGAUCUCUAAAAUCCAUAACCAGCCCAUGUAUGCCCCAAAUCUGAUAUGCAGCCGCACCCACUUAUGGAGACUCCUCUCCAUUAUAAAAAUCUCACCUAAAUCUCAAUCUCCAAACUCAAUCCCCCUAAUCUCCCCAAGAGUAGCGUGAAUAUCCUCCAAGAGUCCUAUGGGCAGCCGUGUAUUCCCAUAUGUGGUCCUCCGAAAUCUCACAUUUCCUUAUUUCUUUCCAUGUGGCUAGUCAUGUACACCUCUCAAAAAAGACAAAUAUAUCUAUAUAUAUAUAUAUAUAUAUAUAUAUAUACUUAAAUUCUCCAACCGUGUCUUCCAUGUUUUCCUAAAUAGUCUUAUCCUUUCCCAACUCUCCAUGGCCGUGUAUCCUCUCAAAAAAUCCCCAAAGACCACUUUUUUUCCUUGUCCUUUCCAUGUGGCCGUGCACAAAAACCAAUCUCAAUCUCCAUGCCUAUGCCAUGCAUAUCUUAUAAGAGUAUCCUUAAAAUCUCAAAAAUCAAUUUUAAUCUCCAUGCGUCAAGGUGACAUGAAACUAACAUAAAGUAUACCUAAAUGGAAUAAACUAAAUAUGCAUCUAGAUGAACUAUCUUAAAGUAUACCUAAACUAAAGUGUAACUAAUUUUUUCUUUUAAAUGGAACUAAGUGAACUAAACCUAAAAUAUAAUUAAGUGAAUUGAGCUAAAAUAUAACUAAAUGAAUUGAGCUAAAAUGUAACUAAGUGAAUUGAACUAAAGUACCAAUAAAUGAACUAAGUUAAAGUGCCACAAAGUGAGCUAAAUAUACGAUGCAACUAAGUGACCUAGACUUAAGGUUGUCACUAGGUGAGCUAAGUUAAAAUGUAACUAAGUGAACUAAACUUAAGCUAAAGUGUAACUAAGUGAGCUAAACCUAAGGUGUCACUAAGUGAGCUAGACUUAAAGUGCAACUAAGUGAGUUGAACUUGAGGUAAAGUGCAACUAAGUGAACUAAACCUAUGAUACAACUAAGUGAGCUAGACCUAAGGUGUUAUCAAAUGAGCUGAAAGUGUAACUAGGUGAGCUAAACCUAAGGUGCAAUUAAUUAAGUUAGGCCUAAGGUACCACUAAAUGAACUAAGUUAAGGUACAACAAAGUGAGUUAAACUUAAGGUGCAACUAAGUAAUCUAAACCUAAAAAUGCAACUAAGUGAAUUAAGCUAUAGAUGCACUAAAAAUUAAAAUUAAUCAUGCAAUAAAAUAAAAAAUCAUUUAUGAACUCAAAAAAUAAGAUCACUUGCAAUUACAAUACAAAAUCAAAUAUGAACUCAAAAUUAAAAUCAUACGUACAUUCCAAAUCAAGAAUCAAAUGUGAACUUAAAAUUUAAAUCACUCAUGCACUAAAAAUUAAUCAUGUAAUAAAAUCAAUCAAUCAUGCACUUCAAACAUCAAAUAAAAAUCACCUAUACACUCAAAAUAUCAAAAAUCGAUCACAAACUAAAAAUAAAAUAACAAAUCAAAGUUCAUUUAACCUAAAAACAUGCAAUAAAAAUCAAAAUGAAACCUAAUGUGCUAAAAACAACAAAGCCUAAACGAAAGAAGGAUUCUCUAAAAAAACAAACUUCUAAACUAAACUUAGAACCACUAAAAAAAUCACACUAAGCAUCCAUAUAAUCCCUCCAAGAUAUAUCUUCCAAAAGGAGUCUAAAAAUAAUGAUAAGGUGAGUAAUAGUGGACCACCAAUGAAGGCACAAUAAAAGCUCAAAAAUAUAUCCUAAGUGUGCAAUGAGGGAUCAUAGGAUAAUAUGUGCUAAGAGGGCAAAAUAGAGGAUCUACAAUUGUCAUUUCCUUUAGAAUAAUUUUUGUCACCAUCUUCAUCUCUAUUAUUGAAGUUGUUGUGUCCUUCUUGACCUCUACCACAACCACAACCUCCUAUAGAUGCUUUACUUUGCAAGACUUACUCCAAAUUAAUAGAGUUGAUUCCAUUCCCUUGUUGUUUACUACCGGAUUCUUUGAUUUAUUUGUUGUUCAUGCGAACACAAUAAAUUCAUCAACCCCUCGACUGUGAGAGUGAAGAUAUAUCAUUUCCUUCUUUAAUAACUAUAGUAGCAUAGUCGAAUUUCGCAUUUAAAGAUUACAUAAUUUUCUUCACUAUUCAUUGAUCAUCAAGCUUUUUUACCAUUAACCACAUUUGGUUUACAAUGGUUUGUGCUUGAUCAAAAUAAUCUGAGAUUAAUUUAGAGUCAUUCAUGCAAAGAGACUUGAGUUCACCUCUUAAUGCUUGCAACUUAAUUCAUUUGAUACAAUUAUCUCCUUUGUAUAAUUUUUGUAGAGUAACACAUACUUUUUUUUUAUAUUAUUAUUUCCACCUUUGAUAUUUUCUCAAAUAUGUUUUCACCUACUAUUUGGAAUAUUGUAUAGAGUGAUUUUUUUUUAAUCUUUUUUUUUAGAAUCUUUCAAUGAAUCUUUCUACCCCUUUGAUAGUGCCUCAAAUUCUUUUGAAUCGACCACUUCAAUGUAACCGUUGUUUACUAAAUCCCAUAAAUCUUAAAAUCUAAAGCAUCUAAAUACACUAAUUAUUGAAAUUUUAACCUUUGAAUUUUAGGAGUUGAGGAUGAAUUAAGUAAUAAUUUGUAGUUAUACUUUCAUCAACAAAAUUGCAACUUUCUUGUGAUUCUGCCCAUUCCCUGAUAUUCUAGCUAUGAUCUAGCAUUUCACCUUCCCUGAUCUUUUGGUUUUCGAAACCAUUUGUUGGAACCCAAUAUUGAUAAUAUUUUUUACUAAAAUAACACUUCAUUGCUUUCUAUUAUUUAAUAUAAUAACAAACUAAUCAUACUUCCACUAGAAUUCUAAUUCCUUGGACCAAAAGUCCUAAUUAAUAUAAAAAAAAUCUAAAUAAAUAACAAUUCCUAAUGUUUCUCAAAUUCCUAAAAUUCUUUUGAUUUGACUUUAAGCGAGAUUAUAAUUUCAACAAACCUUUGAUUUGGUUAUGCCUUGUAGCUCUCAAGUUUUCGGUUCCCGCGAUGACAGUUCUUCCUCCAUAAGGCGCUAGCAAAAUGGAGAUUUGAGGAGGUAAUUGUCCCAUACGCUUUUCGACCCCUUUGUGGUACAUGUUAGCAAUUCCAUCUUCUGAGCCUAGACUAGUUCUUCGUAUUUUCGUUCAAGUGCAGUACCGAGUGGUGGUCGAGCUCGAGUAGUUUUACUAUGGAAUUGGUAGGAAGUGGUCUGUUUGUCUUAUUGAUGAGUCACACUGACUGACUCAAAGGAUAUGUUGUGCUUGCCACUUAACAAUUCAGGCCAAAAAAUUGCAGAAAAAUAGUUGAUGUCAUUGUCUUUUAUAAAUCUAUUCCAUUAGCACUAACAUUUUCUUCCACCCUCAAUUAUUUAUUCAUUUGUAAGAUCUGUCUAACCUUAUAUAUCAUCCACUAAUUGCAAGGAAUUAGAACAGACCAAAUGCAAACAAUCCGGAAAAAUACAGGUCGUAAAAUUUAAUUUUAGAAUCAAUGGGCAGAAUGGAAAAUAGGGGAUCGAUCGUCGAGUGGGUCAUUACAAUAUUUGCCAUCAUUCCAUGAGGACCUUUGACAAAAACACACCCCAUAAUGAUCAUUUCUUUUCUUUUUCUCCUUUGUGUAGACUGUUGACAUGGUUAGUGGGUCAUGACUUCAUUUUAUAGACCAUUCAACUGCACACAAUCAUCAAAUCCAAUAUUACGACUGUAUUGCCCGUUAGAUCAGGCCAUUACUAGUAUUUCAGGCGGUGAUCCACACCUCAAAGGAUUUCAUGAUGCCAUUGUGUUAACAUAUAUACGGGCCAUGUUUCUAGCGUAGAGAUUGAACAAGGGGAGACACCCAAUACCAUAAAUGAGAGUAGUGCUAGGGCUUUGAUCAGUCGAAAAGAAAGAAAGAAAAAGGGAAACAAUUUACAUAACUUACAAUGGAGAAGAGAUUGAUUGAAAAUUUUAUUAUUUUUCCAUGUAAAUGGUUCUAGAAGCGUAAGGCACAAGAGGGAAUCUUCCAUGGCGAGAAAGGCUUUAAGGUUUUUUACAGGUCCAAGUGCACUUGGUAGAAUAUUCAAAUCCUCCUUUAUAAAUAUAUGACAUACCACCAAGCUCAUUACAGUACACCGGCAAAACUCAGAAGAGGGAAAGAGAGAUUAUGACAGUAGAUACCACCUCCUCCAAUGGAUUUUGGCAGUUGAACUCUCCAUUGCCAUACCUGUUUGUUGGGUUGGCUCUACUGCUGGGCCUUAUUGCGGUUGCAUUCGUCGUGCUAUCCUGCUCACACAAACACCCUUCUGCAGACUUGGCAACUGAUGAUGAAAAAGAUAAGCCACCAAAACUGAUGCACACAGACCCAAACACGGCGCCAAGGAUCGUAGUCAUGGCAGGAGACGACAACCCCAAGUACCUGGCAAAGCCCAUGGCGUCGGCUCCCCAUACUGAGCAAGUCUGAGCUAAGGAUCAUCCCUUACAGUAAACAUCAAGUUCUUGUUUUCUCCUUACAGUAUGGGCUUUUGUGUUUGUCAGAAUUCUCAGGAAUAUGUAAAUUUGUUUAGGUUAGAGGGGAUGUUAAUCAUCUUGUAAAUUAGCUAUGCAUCGAUCCAUCUAAUAUAUCGUUCAUUAUUUCUCCUCCUCUUUUAUUAUUUUCUGUUAUGAAUCAGUAGUUCUUUUUCCCCUCAGUGAAGAACAAUAUGAAUUAGUACUCCAAAUCAUUUUAUGUAACUUCAAAAUCUAUCAUCCUAAAACUAAGAAAACUCAGAUCACCCUGUCUUUGGAUCUUGGAAGCAAUUACUUUUACAGGUGCAGAUAGAAUAUAUAGUAGUUGAAUGUUAUGUCAAGCUAAAGAAGAAACACAGGUAUAUAUGAUGUUAUAUAUGGUGCAAACAAUUUCUACAUUAAGCUUAUUUUUAGUAAGUACCCAAAGGACUAUAAUUCUUGAUUACAAGCAACCCCUUCUGCAGUGUGUCAUCAAUAAACGACUUAGUGUAUGAGCAGUGGCAUUGGAAAUAUAAAUUAAUUUUGGAGAUCCUUGUUUUUUGAUCUACCAAAAGGAGCUACUGAAAAUUCAACUCAGAGCUUUUGAAAACUGUUAUAAAGGACUUUACCAGUAUUAAGAUUCGGGGCUUGUGAGUUUAGAGAAAAGGAAUUGACUUUCAACAUGGGUCUUGGUCUUGAGAAAUGUUAGUUUAAUGCAGCACUAGCUGGGAAUGGAUAAGGUUGGCGGACGUGGCAUCUCGAAUAUAAUUUUUGGAGCAGGAAACUUUAGGAGACCAUGGUUUGAAAACGGAGAGAAGAGCAAGUAAAAAGAGGCAUCCCAGAUAGUCUAAAGCUUGCAUUUCAAGUUGGUGAAAUUAGUUUUUAUUUUUAAUUUUUAAUUUUUAAUUAAUUGUUUAUUUAUUGUGUUAGGUGAUUUCCUUAUUGAAGUUGAUUGAAAAUGCCUGGCGACUCUCUCUGCAUGUUUUGCAUAGCCCACUAAAUCAUCCAAUGAGUAAUAAUGGAGAAGACAAAUUGAUUAGAAAUUAGAAUAUGAACCUUAGCUUGGGGAUGAAGUAGUGGACAUGGGAAGUAGAAUAUGAUAAGGGGUUUUCUCCAAUUCUUUUCAUCUUAGGUGCUCGAUUAGGAUAAACAAAGGAUCCAUUAACUUGUUAUUGAAGAAUAAACUUAGGUUGCCUUUAAAUUUAAAUGACACUACAAGAUUUGUAAGCGGUUCAAAAUUUUGAAGCGAGUAGUAAUUUAAUAAUUAAAUUGUCUAUCAUUGAGUAAAAGAAACUAUAAACUUUAAGAUUGUGUUUGAUAGUUGAAAAAUACUUUUAAAAAAA